Molecule: ribosomal RNA, 505 nt
Filed under: uncultured bacterium
Lineage: Bacteria
Description: bacterial SSU rRNA
Rfam family: Bacterial small subunit ribosomal RNA
Source: RNAcentral
GAUGCUUUGGUGCCUUCGGGGAACUCUGAGACAGGUGCUGCAUGGCUGUCGUCAGCUCGUGUUGUGAAAUGUUGGGUUAAGUCCCGNAACGAGCGCAACCCUUAUCCUUUGUUGCCAGCGGUUCGGCCGGGAACUCAAAGGAGACUGCCGGUGAUAAACCGGAGGAAGGUGGGGAUGACGUCAAGUCAUCAUGGCCCUUACGGCCAGGGCUACACACGUGCUACAAUGGCGCAUACAAAGAGAAGCGACCUCGCGAGAGCAAGCGGACCUCAUAAAGUGCGUCGUAGUCCGGAUUGGAGUCUGCAACUCGACUCCAUGAAGUCGGAAUCGCUAGUAAUCGUAGAUCAGAAUGCUACGGUGAAUACGUUCCCGGGCCUUGUACACACCGCCCGUCACACCAUGGGAGUGGGUUGCAAAAGAAGUAGGUAGCUUAACCUUCGGGAGGGCGCUUACCACUUUGUGAUUCAUGACUGGGGUGAAGUCGUAACAAGGUAAGCGUAGCGAG